GUGGGGAAUUUUGGACAAUGGGGGCAACCCUGAUCCAGCCAUCCCGCGUGUGCGAUGAAGGCCUUCGGGUUGUAAAGCACUUUUGGCAGGGAAGAAAAGUUUCGGGCUAAUACCCUGGAGCGAUGACGGUACCUGCAGAAUAAGCACCGGCUAACUACGUGCCAGCAGCCGCGGUAAUAAGUAGGGUGCAAGCGUUAAUCGGAAUUACUGGGCGUAAAGCGUGCGCAGGCGGUGCGGAAAGAAAGAUGUGAAAUCCCAGGGCUUAACCUUGGAACUGCAUUUUUAACUGUCGAACUCGAGUAUGUCAGAGGGGGGUAGAAUUCCACGUGUAGCAGUGAAAUGCGUAGAGAUGUGGAGGAAUACCGAUGACGAAGGCAGCCCCCUGGGAUAAUACUGACGCUCAUGCACGAAAGCGUGGGGAGCAAACAGGAUUAGAAACCCCGGUAGUCC
This 450-nucleotide ribosomal RNA is filed under the name uncultured bacterium. RNAcentral's name for it is "partial 16S ribosomal RNA". It matches the Rfam family "Bacterial small subunit ribosomal RNA", at positions 354 to 796 of the family's 1533-position model. The record is from RNAcentral.